GACGAACGCUGGCGGCGUGCCUAACACAUGCAAGUCGAACGGUAAGGCCCUUCGGGGUACGCGAGUGGCGAACGGGUGAGUAACACGUGGGUGAUCUGCCCUGCACUUCGGGAUAAGACUGGGAAACUGGGUCUAAUACCGGAUAGGACUCCGGAAUGCAUGGUGGUGGUGGAAAGCUUUUGCGGUGUGGGAUGGGCCCGCGGCCUAUCAGCGUGUUGGUGGGGUGAUGGCCUACCAAGGCGACGACGGGUAGCCGGCCUGAGAGGGUGACCGGCCACACUGGGACUGAGAUACGGCCCAGACUCCUACGGGAGGCAGCAGUGGGGAAUAUUGCACAAUGGGCGCAAGCCUGAUGCAGCGACGCCGCGUGAGGGAUGACGGCCUUCGGGUUGUAAACCUCUUUCAGCACCGACGAAGCGCAAGUGACAGUAGGUGCAGAAGAAGGACCGGCCAACUACGUGCCAGCAGCCGCGGUAA
Molecule: ribosomal RNA, 477 nt
Filed under: uncultured bacterium
Lineage: Bacteria
Description: partial 16S ribosomal RNA
Rfam family: Bacterial small subunit ribosomal RNA
Source: RNAcentral